CCUACGGGAGGCUGCAGUGAGGAAUAUUGGUCAAUGGACGAGAGUCUGAACCAGCCAAGUAGCGUGAAGGAUGACUGCCCUAUGGGUUGUAAACUUCUUUUAUAUGGGAAUAAAAUGUUCCACGUGUGGGAUUUUGUAUGUACCAUAUGAAUAAGGAUCGGCUAACUCCGUGCCAGCAGCCGCGGUAAUACGGAGGAUCAGAACGUUAUCCGGAUUUAUUGGGUUUAAAGGGAACGUAGGUGGAUUGUUAAGUCAGUUGUGAAAGUUUGCGGCUCAACCGUAAAAUUGCAGUUGAAACUGGCAGUCGUGAGUACAGUAGAGGUGGGCGGAAUUCGUGGUGUAGCGGUGAAAUGCUUAGAUAUCACGAAGAACUCCGAUUGCGAAGGCAGCUCACUGGACUGCAACUGACACGGAGGCUCGAAAGUGUGGGUAUCAAACAGGAUUAGAUACCCGAGUAGUC
This 460-nucleotide ribosomal RNA is filed under the name uncultured bacterium. RNAcentral describes it as "partial 16S ribosomal RNA". It matches the Rfam family "Bacterial small subunit ribosomal RNA", at positions 338 to 795 of the family's 1533-position model. The record is from RNAcentral.